AUGGAAAAUCAGCAAUGUUCCCUAUUUUAUUACAACUUAUGUUGUUUUUCCAUGGCAACUUUUUUUUCUGUUCGGAGUAUUUUUCGCAUGCCAACUAAGAAAUCAUCUAAAGUUGCCAUGGCAACUUUGGAUUAUUUUUCCACACGCCGACUAACAAAUCAUCUAAAGUUUGCCAUGGAAACUUUUAAUACGACAACUUCAAAUGUGCGCCAUGCCAACUUAAGAUAUGUUGCCAUGGCAAAAAUUAAACCAUUUUUCAAUUGCAAAUUUUACUCCAUUUUAUGCCAUGGCAAACUUCUUUAA
RNAcentral lists this ribosomal RNA (303 nucleotides) under Triticum aestivum (bread wheat). RNAcentral describes it as "partial small subunit ribosomal RNA". Lineage: Eukaryota; Viridiplantae; Streptophyta; Magnoliopsida; Poales; Poaceae. The record is from RNAcentral.